RNAcentral lists this ribosomal RNA (750 nucleotides) under Rhodococcus sp. PLJR-1. Its description in RNAcentral is "bacterial SSU rRNA". It matches the Rfam family "Bacterial small subunit ribosomal RNA", at positions 45 to 812 of the family's 1533-position model. Lineage: Bacteria; Bacillati; Actinomycetota; Actinomycetes; Mycobacteriales; Nocardiaceae. The record is from RNAcentral.
UGCUUUAACAUGCAAGUCGAGCGGUAAGGCCUGUUCGGGGUACACGAGCGGCGAACGGGUGAGUAACACGUGGGUGAUCUGCCCUGCACUCUGGGAUAAGCCUGGGAAACUGGGUCUAAUACCGGAUAUGACCUUCCUCUGCAUGGGGGUUGGUGGAAAGCUUUUGUGGUGCAGGAUGGGCCCGCGGCCUAUCAGCUUGUUGGUGGGGUAAUGGCCUACCAAGGCGACGACGGGUAGCCGACCUGAGAGGGUGACCGGCCACACUGGGACUGAGACACGGCCCAGACUCCUACGGGAGGCAGCAGUGGGGAAUAUUGCACAAUGGGCGGAAGCCUGAUGCAGCGACGCCGCGUGAGGGAUGAAGGCCUUCGGGUUGUAAACCUCUUUCAGCAGGGACGAAGCGUGAGUGACGGUACCUGCAGAAGAAGCACCGGCUAACUACGUGCCAGCAGCCGCGGUAAUACGUAGGGUGCGAGCGUUGUCCGGAAUUACUGGGCGUAAAGAGUUCGUAGGCGGUUUGUCGCGUCGUUUGUGAAAACCCGGGGCUCAACUUCGGGCUUGCAGGCGAUACGGGCAGACUUGAGUGUUUCAGGGGAGACUGGAAUUCCUGGUGUAGCGGUGAAAUGCGCAGAUAUCAGGAGGAACACCGGUGGCGAAGGCGGGUCUCUGGGAAACAACUGACGCUGAGGAACGAAAGCGUGGGUAGCAAACAGGAUUAGAUACCCUGGUAGUCCACGCCGUAAACGGUGG